RNAcentral lists this long non-coding RNA (1044 nucleotides) under Equus caballus (horse). RNAcentral describes it as "lncRNA (ENSECAG00000060051.1)". The record is from RNAcentral. Lineage: Eukaryota; Metazoa; Chordata; Mammalia; Perissodactyla; Equidae.
AGGUUCACUGGAAACUGGAAAAAUAUCUUCUAGUUAUGCCUCAGAGAAUUACAGGGCUAUAUUGAUUGGACUUGAACAUGAUAAAGGAUUAAUGAUUGCCUAAUUAUAUGUAGGUGUUUCUUAAAUCUGCUCUAAAUUGUAGCUCCUUAAAAGGCAGCACACGUGUGAUUAAGAACACAGUUCUGGAGCCAUGUGGCCUAGAUUUGAAUUCCACGUCUGCCACUUGCUAACUCAGGACCCGGGCCCAUGAACCUCCUAAGCUCGAGAGCUCUGCUGGCCAGGACAGUGGCUGGUAGCCGCAUAUGGCUGCUCUGAGUGGACAUGUGCUGCAACCGAGAUGUACACUGGGUUUCCAAGGCCUAGUACAAGACAAUUUACCAUAAAAUUUGAAAUUCCACCGAUGGUUCACAUUAUAUUUGUGUUGGACAGAGCUGCUGUGGAUGGAUAAUAACAGGCUCAGCUCCUAGGACUGUGCUAAAGAUCAAAUGAAUUAUCCACGGGGAAGAUUUGCUCCAAGCCAACAUCUGUUGCCAAUCUUCUUCCUCUUCCCCACCACCGCUGGAUCACAGCACGUAGUUGUAAAUUCUUCUAGUUCCUCCAUGCAAGUCACUGCCACAGCACAGCUACCAACAGACAAGUGGUGUGGUUCUGCACCCGGACACCGAGCCCAGGCCGCCAACGCGGAGCAGGCCAAACUUGAAGCACCAGGCCGUCAGGGCUGGCUCACUUGAUAGGCUUUUUAAAACUAAAAAUAAAUAAAUAAUAAUUAAUUAUUUUAUUAUUUUGUUAAUUAAGUUGAUAAAUUACUUAAGUUUUAUUAAUCACUUUAUUAUGUUAAUUUUCAUCAUUCUCUCCUCCCGUUCUUCACAUCAGCCCCUCAACUGGCUACAUCAGUGGUGCUUUAGCACCGUAAGGAUGAAUUAAAAUUAUUGUUUCCUUACCUUCUAUGUCAUGAUAUGUUCCCUGUUUUCUUUUACAGUCGUCCCCCCUUAUCUGCAGGGGAAACGUUCCAAGACCCCCGGUGGACGCCUGAAACUGAGCAGA